GGCCCUGUAGCUCAGUUCGCGAAAGAGCGCUCGCCUGAAAAGCGAGAGGUCGCCCGUUCAAAUCGGGCCGGGGCCAC
RNAcentral lists this transfer RNA (77 nucleotides) under Streptomyces phage Frankenweenie. RNAcentral describes it as "tRNA-Phe". It matches the Rfam family "tRNA". Rfam says of the family: Transfer RNA (tRNA) molecules are approximately 80 nucleotides in length. Their secondary structure includes four short double-helical elements and three loops (D, anti-codon, and T loops). Further hydrogen bonds mediate the characteristic L-shaped molecular structure. tRNAs have two regions of fundamental functional importance: the anti-codon, which is responsible for specific mRNA codon recognition, and the 3' end, to which the tRNAs corresponding amino acid is attached (by aminoacyl-tRNA synthetases). tRNAs cope with the degeneracy of the genetic code in two manners: having more than one tRNA (with a specific anti-codon) for a particular amino acid; and 'wobble' base-pairing, i.e. permitting non-standard base-pairing at the 3rd anti-codon position. The record is from RNAcentral. Lineage: Duplodnaviria; Heunggongvirae; Uroviricota; Caudoviricetes.